CUAAACACGAUGAACAGAAAGAAGUAAAAAAAGAAUGGUUUCAAGAGAGUCAACGGGUGGUGUAAGUUGUCAAUUGUUCUUUUUUGAAAUGCCUCUGGGAGUGGUCUUUGCGAAGAGGGGGUUGAUCAAUCUCAAUCCUUGAAAGUAGCGAAGAACGAAUAGCAGACGUUACCUGUUAGAGAUAAUCAUUUGAUUAUGAAAAAAAGUGGAACCACGCCUCAUAGCGUCUUUUAA
RNAcentral lists this non-coding RNA (234 nucleotides) under Enterococcus mundtii. Its description in RNAcentral is "T-box sequence". It matches the Rfam family "T-box leader". Rfam says of the family: Uncharged tRNA acts as the effector for transcription antitermination of genes in the T-box leader family. T-boxes are found upstream of many aminoacyl-tRNA synthetase genes and some amino acid biosynthetic genes usually in Gram-positive bacteria. Lineage: Bacteria; Bacillati; Bacillota; Bacilli; Lactobacillales; Enterococcaceae. The record is from RNAcentral.